This 250-nucleotide ribosomal RNA is filed under the name uncultured prokaryote. Its description in RNAcentral is "partial 16S ribosomal RNA". It matches the Rfam family "Bacterial small subunit ribosomal RNA", at positions 524 to 774 of the family's 1533-position model. The record is from RNAcentral.
UACGGAAGAUGCGAGCGUUAUCCGGAUUUAUUGGGUUUAAAGGGAGCGUAGGCGGGUUUUUAAGUCUGCGGUCAAAUGUCGGCGCUCAACGCCGGCCUGCCGUGGAAACUGGGAGCCUUGAAUGUGCACAAGGAAGGUGGAGUUCGUGGUGUAGCGGUGUAAUGCUUAGAUAUCACGAAGAACUCCGAUUGCGAAGGCAUCCUUCUGGGGCAUGAUUGACGCUGAGGCUCGAAAGCGCGGGUAUCAAACA